GAGUUUGAUCCUGGCUCAGAGCGAACGCUGGCGGCAGGCCUAACACAUGCAAGUCGAGCGGCCGUAGCAAUACGGCAGCGGCAGACGGGAGAGUAACACGUGGGAACGCGCCCUUCGGUUCGGAAUAACUCAGGGAAACUUGGGCUAAUACCGAAUACGCCCUUACGGGGAAAGAUUUAUCGCCGAAGGAACGGCCCGCGUCCGAUUAGCUUGUUGGUGAGGUAAUGGCUCACCAAGGCGACGAUCGGUAGCUGGUCUGAGAGGAUGACCAGCCUCACUGGGACUGAGACACGGCCCAGACUCCUACGGGAGGCAGCAGUGGGGAAUAUUGGACAAUGGGCGCAAGCCUGAUCCAGCCAUGCCGCGUGGGUGAUGAAGGCCCUA
Molecule: ribosomal RNA, 384 nt
Filed under: uncultured Alphaproteobacteria bacterium
Lineage: Bacteria; Pseudomonadati; Pseudomonadota; Alphaproteobacteria
Description: bacterial SSU rRNA
Rfam family: Bacterial small subunit ribosomal RNA
Source: RNAcentral